AGCAUGACUGUAGCAAUACAGUUGAUGGCGACCGGCAAACGGGUGCGGAACACGUACACAACCUUCCUUUUAGUGGAGAAUAGCCCAGGGAAACUUGGAUUAAUACUCCGUAACAUAUAGAAGUGGCAUCACUUUUAUAUUAAAGCAGCAAUGCGCUAGAAGAUGGGUGUGCGGCUGAUUAGAUAGUUGGCGGGGUAACGGCCCACCAAGUCGACGAUCAGUAACUGGUGUGAGAGCACGACCAGUCACACGGGCACUGAGACACGGGCCCGACUCCUACGGGAGGCAGCAGUAAGGAAUAUUGGUCAAUGGACGCAAGCCUGAACCAGCCAUGCCGCGUGGAGGAUGAAGGUCCUCUGGAUUGUAAACUUCUUUUAUCUGGGAAGAAAUCCAUUUUUUCUAAAAUGGUUGACGGUACCAGAUGAAUAAGCACCGGCUAACUCCGUGCCAGCAGCCGCGGUAAUACGGAGGGUGCAAGCGUUAUCCGGAUUCACUGGGUUUAAAGGGUGCGUAGGUGGGUAAGUAAGUCAGUGGUGAAAUCUCCGGGCUUAACCCGGAAACUGCCAUUGAUACUAUUUGUCUUGAAUACUGUGGAGGUCAGCGGAAUAUGUCAUGUAGCGGUGAAAUGCUUAGAUAUGACAUAGAACACCAAUUGCGAAGGCAGCUGGCUACACAAAUAUUGACACUGAGGCACGAAAGCGUGGGGAUCAAACAGGAUUAGAUACCCUGGUAGUCCACGCCCUAAACUAUGGAUACUCGACAUUUGCGA
RNAcentral lists this ribosomal RNA (769 nucleotides) under uncultured Sphingobacteriales cum 'Crenotrichaceae' bacterium. Its description in RNAcentral is "bacterial SSU rRNA". It matches the Rfam family "Bacterial small subunit ribosomal RNA", at positions 68 to 829 of the family's 1533-position model. The record is from RNAcentral. Lineage: Bacteria; Pseudomonadati; Bacteroidota; Sphingobacteriia; Sphingobacteriales.